AGUGAAUAGAUACCCAGGUAGUCCCAGCUGUAAACGAUGCAGACUCGGUGAUGAAAUUGGCUUAUUGCUAAAUUCAGUGCCGCAGGGAAGCCGUUAAGUUUGCCGCCUGGGGGAGUACGGUCGCAAGACUGAAACUUAAAGGAAUUGGCGGGGAGCACCACAAGGGGUGAAAGCCUGCGGUUCAAUUGGAGUCAACGCCGGAAAUCUUACCGGGGGCGACAGCAGAGUGAAGGUCAAGCUGAAGACUUUACCAGACAAGCUGAGAGGAGGUGCAUGGCCGUCGCCAGCUCGUGCCGUGAGGUGUCCUGUUAAGUCAGGUAACGAGCGAGAUCCCUGCCUCUAGUUGCUACCAUUAUUCUCAGGAGUAGUGGAGCUAAUUAGAGGGACCGCCGUCGCUGAGACGGAGGAAGGUGGGGGCUACGGCAGGUCAGUAUGCCCGGAAACCCUGGGCCACACGCGGGCUGCAAUGGUAAGGACAAUGAGUUUCGAUUCCGAAAGGAGGAGGCAAUCUCUAAACCUUACC
RNAcentral lists this ribosomal RNA (523 nucleotides) under uncultured bacterium. RNAcentral describes it as "bacterial SSU rRNA". It matches the Rfam family "Archaeal small subunit ribosomal RNA", at positions 723 to 1243 of the family's 1478-position model. The record is from RNAcentral.